GUGUCUACCUCGGGGGGCACGAAAGUGCUGAGAUUGCGAAAGCUGACCCGUUGAACCUGAACCGGUUAACACCGGCGGAGGGAAGGUAUGGGCAAAACUC
Molecule: non-coding RNA, 100 nt
Filed under: Sulfitobacter donghicola
Lineage: Bacteria; Pseudomonadati; Pseudomonadota; Alphaproteobacteria; Rhodobacterales; Roseobacteraceae
Also listed under: 1 other name
Description: TPP sequence
Rfam family: TPP riboswitch aptamer (THI element)
About the family: Vitamin B(1) in its active form thiamin pyrophosphate (TPP) is an essential coenzyme that is synthesised by coupling of pyrimidine and thiazole moieties in bacteria. The previously detected thiamin-regulatory element, thi box was extended, resulting in a new, highly conserved RNA secondary structure, the THI element, which is widely distributed in eubacteria and also occurs in some archaea.
Source: RNAcentral